UACGUAGGGGGGCAAGCGUUGUCCGGAUUUAUUGGGCGUAAAGAGCGUGUAGGCGGCCACACAGGUCAGCUGUGAAAACUCGAGGCUCAACCUCGAGACGUCGGUUGAAACCGUAUGGCUAGAGUCCGGAAGAGGAGAGUGGAAUUCCCGGUGUAGCGGUGAAAUGCGCAGAUAUCGGGAAGAACACCCGUGGCGAAGGCGGCUCUCUGGGACGGUACUGACGCUGAGACGCGAAAGCGUGGGGAGCGAACAGG
RNAcentral lists this ribosomal RNA (254 nucleotides) under uncultured bacterium. RNAcentral's name for it is "partial 16S ribosomal RNA". It matches the Rfam family "Bacterial small subunit ribosomal RNA", at positions 524 to 776 of the family's 1533-position model. The record is from RNAcentral.